This 343-nucleotide unclassified non-coding RNA is filed under the name soil metagenome. RNAcentral's name for it is "partial contains 5.8S ribosomal RNA, internal transcribed spacer 2, and large subunit ribosomal RNA". The stretch from base 1 to 120 matches the Rfam family "5.8S ribosomal RNA", at positions 35 to 154 of the family's 154-position model. The record is from RNAcentral.
GAUGAAGAACGCAGCGAAAUGCGAUAAGUAAUGUGAAUUGCAGAAUUCAGUGAAUCAUCGAAUCUUUGAACGCACAUUGCGCCCGCUAGUAUUCUGGCGGGCAUGCCUGUCCGAGCGUCAUUUCAACCCUCAAGCCCCUGGGCUUGGUGUUGGGGAUCGGCGAGCCUCCGCGCCCGCCGUCCCCUAAAUCUAGUGGCGGUCUCGCUGUAGCUUCCUCUGCGUAGUAGCACACCUCGCACUGGGAAACAGCGCGGCCACGCCGUUAAACCCCCAACUUCUGAACGUUUGACCUCGGAUCAGGUAGGAAUACCCGCUGAACUUAAGCAUAUCAAUAAGCGGAGGA